Panicum virgatum (switchgrass) is the source of this 997-nucleotide long non-coding RNA. RefSeq lists it as uncharacterized. The record is from RefSeq and is a predicted model, not a curated record. NCBI's taxonomy places the organism in Eukaryota, Viridiplantae, Streptophyta, Magnoliopsida, Poales, Poaceae. The transcript has 3 exons.
CAUAGCUGCCCCAUCUAUUCCGCCCUGCCCUCGCCUCUCCUAGCCCUAGCGUCGUCGCCGUUGUUUCCCUUGGUGCUGGUGCUAGCGAUCUUCUCUGGUUGUCUUCUGGUGGCUCCUGACUCCAUCAUCCCCUGUGCCCUUCGCCGGUGUUGCCUCAACAUCUUGGAAUUGACGGGACAGAGGAGAAAGGAGGAGCAAAGAGGAAGAGGAGUCUGAGCAUUUGUCAAUCUCGUCAAAUUCCCUUUGAAACCGAGUUCUUCCAUACAAGAUUCGAUAAAUUCUAGUGGCGAGCGUGUGACGUCAGAUUCUUGACAAGGUUAAGGCAAGUGCAAUGACGAAUUUCUUGAUGUGUGAUUAUAUUUUUGGCUUUCUUGCUGCCCUUGGGCGACGUUUAUUCAAUGUCUUUAUUUUAUAUGUCAAUUCCUUUAAGAAUCAUGUCAUAAUUUUUUGGUUCUGUCAAAUGUUCAAGAUUCGUGUGUUGCCUUUCAUAUCAUUCAAGUGCCGGAGGUUUGUAUAAACACCGGUUGUGCAAUUUGGUUCUUAUGUUCAGGUUCCUGUGAAUAAGUGCUGGCCCCACUUAUUCGGCUUUACCGGUAAAUGCAAAGGAACUUUCAGGUGACGUCCAUUUCAGACGAAAACUACUGUUUCAUUGUUGUCCCAUGAUUUCUGGAUUUCAGUUGUUCAUGUAUUUGCAGUUGUUGUUCUGGUUCCAAAUUGUGCUUGCUGAAUAUCCCUACUCACUCUUGUGUUUAUUUGGCUUUUAGGUACUCGCUGAUCAAGUUUGCAUGGGAUGGGAGUAGCCACUUCAUGAUGACCAUGCACACAUUUUUGCAAUUCAUUAAACAAAUCUCUAGGCUGAAUAAUUUUUUUUGAUAUUGAGAACUGUCGUGUGGUCGUUUGGAUGUCGCUUAGAUUUACUUGGUCGUGUUAGUCGAUGUGGAGGGUGAUAAUAUUUAUUUAUACGAUCUUGCUAUUAUAUAACUUGUGUGCCCGCGAA